UUCACACAACUGUCUCAAACAGGUCAUGCCAAACAGAACAUGGACAUCUUCAUCAUGAGCAAACGACGUCUCCUCAUAUUUUCAUUCUUAUUGCUGUGGGUAUCAGGUCUAACUGAUGGGGGGGAAGUCAAGCAGACCGCCAUGCUGUGGAAAAACCAGGGUGAUAAUGUAUCUAUAGAAUGCAGUCAUACCUAUGGCAGUAGCUAUUACUAUAUGUACUGGUACAGACAGCUGCCUGGAGAACUAAUGAAACAAAUGGUGUUUACUAUUGCAAACUCCAAACCUGACUUUGAACCAGACUUCAGGGAUAAAAAAUUCUCAACCACCAAGCCUGACGCUGACAGUGGGACACUGAUAGUGAAGAAUUUGGUGCCAGGAGAUCAAGGCUUGUAUUUCUGUGCUGUUAGUAUGCACAGUGAUACAGCCACACUCAACACCCGUACAAAAACCUCAGAUCAUGAACUGUAGGGGGAUGUCAAGGAUCACAAAUACUCACAACUGAACAUGGAUUCAUCAUACCAAUUCAACUCAAACUGCUUAAUGUUUUGAAAGAAUUUAUUUCAACUUACAGUUAUUUUGUUCCAGG
Oreochromis aureus is the source of this 586-nucleotide non-coding RNA. Lineage: Eukaryota; Metazoa; Chordata; Actinopteri; Cichliformes; Cichlidae. The record is from the annotation of a RefSeq genome assembly.